RNAcentral lists this non-coding RNA (490 nucleotides) under Trichomalopsis sarcophagae. RNAcentral's name for it is "Eukaryotic small subunit ribosomal RNA". It matches the Rfam family "Eukaryotic small subunit ribosomal RNA", at positions 636 to 1116 of the family's 1831-position model. The record is from Rfam by way of RNAcentral. Lineage: Eukaryota; Metazoa; Arthropoda; Insecta; Hymenoptera; Pteromalidae.
GCGGAAAAAUGGUCGCCUUUUUUCCCCUCUUGCACGCUUAUCUUCGCCAAAUGACGAAGUCCUCUCGCACGCAGCUUUCGCCGAGCUAAAACAAAGACNAGUGUCGAGGUGGGCCGGUACGUUUACUUUGAACAAAUUAGAGUGCUCAAAGCAGGCUAUGUUCGCCUGAAUACUGUGUGCAUGGAAUAAUGGAAUAGGACCUCGGUUCUAUUUUGUUGGUUUUCGGAACCCCGAGGUAAUGAUUAAUAGGGACAGAUGGGGGCAUUCGUAUUGCGACGUUAGAGGUGAAAUUCUUGGAUCGUCGCAAGACGGACAGAAGCGAAAGCAUUUGCCAAAAAUGUUUUCAUUAAUCAAGAACGAAAGUUAGAGGUUCGAAGGCGAUCAGAUACCGCCCUAGUUCUAACCAUAAACGAUGCCAGCUAGCGAUCCGCCGAAGUUCCUCCGAUGACUCGGCGGGCAGCUUCCGGGAAACCAAAGCUUUUGGGUUCCG